This 497-nucleotide ribosomal RNA is filed under the name uncultured bacterium. RNAcentral describes it as "partial 16S ribosomal RNA". It matches the Rfam family "Bacterial small subunit ribosomal RNA", at positions 28 to 507 of the family's 1533-position model. The record is from RNAcentral.
GAUGAACGCUGGCGGCGUGCCUAAUACAUGCAAGUCGAGCGAACGGACGAGAAGCUUGCUUCUCUGAUGUUAGCGGCGGACGGGUGAGUAACACGUGGAUAACCUACCUAUAAGACUGGGAUAACUUCGGGAAACCGGAGCUAAUACCGGAUGAUAUUUUGAACCGCAUGGUUCAAAAGUGAAAGACGGUCUUGCUGUCACUUAUAGAUGGAUCCGCGCUGCAUUAGCUAGUUGGUAAGGUAACGGCUUACCAAGGCAACGAUGCAUAGCCGACCUGUGAGGGUGAUCGGCCACACUGGAACUGAGACACGGUCCAGACUCCUACGGGAGGCAGCAGUAGGGAAUCUUCCGCAAUGGGCGAAAGCCUGACGGAGCAACGCCGCGUGAGUGAUGAAGGUCUUCGGAUCGUAAAACUCUGUUAUUAGGUAAGAACAUAUGUGUAAGUAACUGUGCACAUCUUGACGGUACCUAAUCAGAAAGCCACGGCUAACUACGUG